This is a long non-coding RNA of Papaver somniferum (opium poppy), 527 nucleotides long. RefSeq lists it as uncharacterized. The transcript has 3 exons. The record is from RefSeq and is a predicted model, not a curated record. NCBI's taxonomy places the organism in Eukaryota, Viridiplantae, Streptophyta, Magnoliopsida, Ranunculales, Papaveraceae.
GGUCUGAUCUAAAACUGCUACUAUUCAUAUAUCUACCAUUAAUCUCUUUAAUUUUUAUCUUUGUACAAGCAGAUCUCAAUUCUCUCUGUUCCCAAGACUUUUCCUCAUCUUUUACAUCAACCUAGGGUUUCAUCUUUUUCUUCGAGUUUUAUAUCUCGAUCAUUUUCACUUUGUUUUCGUGUAAGAAAUCGAGCUUCAAAGCUCUAUCUUCGUUAUUUCCAUUAGAAAACCACAUAAAACUUUCGAUUUCUUCCCCUUGGAAAACUUAUGGUGUUGAGUUACUUGAUUGGGUUCUUGAUGGUGGUCGCAAAGAUUCUAUAAUAUGUGAUUUCUUACAAGGUAUGGUCAUUCUCCAGGUACCUCAAAGUGGCUCGGUAGUUUCCUCUAUCCACAUCAAUUGUUUGGUGAUAAUUUCUUUAUUAUUUUGCUCCCAUAUUUCUUAAUUUGAUGUUCAUAGUUAAGAUUCAAGUAGAGGUCUAUGAUCUUUAUUUUGAUUCUCAGGUGGAUCAAGGAGACUUCAUGGGCGG